AGUGAACGCUGGCGGUAGGCCUAACACAUGCAAGUCGAACGGCAGCACAGUAAGAGCUUGCUCUUACGGGUGGCGAGUGGCGGACGGGUGAGGAAUACAUCGGAAUCUACUUUUUCGUGGGGGAUAACGUAGGGAAACUUACGCUAAUACCGCAUACGACCUACGGGUGAAAGCAGGGGAUCUUCGGACCUUGCGCGAUUGAAUGAGCCGAUGUCGGAUUAGCUGGUUGGCGGGGUAAAGGCCCACCAAGGCGACGAUCCGUAGCUGGUCUGAGAGGAUGACCGCCCACACGGAAACGAGACACCGGUCAGACUUCCACGGGAAGGCAGCGGGGGGAAUUUUUGAACAAGGGGGGCAGGCCUAUCCAGCCCUAACGGGGUGGUGAAGGAAGCCCUCGGGGUGUAAAGCCCCUUUUGUGGGAAAGAAAAGCAGCAGGUUAAUACCCCGCUGUUCUGACGGUACCCAAAGAAUAAGCACCGGCUAACUUCGU
RNAcentral lists this ribosomal RNA (490 nucleotides) under uncultured bacterium. Its description in RNAcentral is "partial 16S ribosomal RNA". It matches the Rfam family "Bacterial small subunit ribosomal RNA", at positions 29 to 506 of the family's 1533-position model. The record is from RNAcentral.